CCUACGGGCGGCAGCAGUGAGGAAUAUUGGUCAAUGGCCGGAAGCCUGAACCAGCCAUGCCGCGUGAAGGUCAGUGCCCUAUGGGCGUUAAACUUCUUUUGUGCGGGAGCAAUAAUGGUCACGUGUGGCCAGACGAGAGUACCGUACGAAUAAGCAUCGGCUAACUCCGUGCCAGCAGCCGCGGUUAUACGGGGGAUGCAAGCGUUAUCCGGAUUUAUUGGGGUUAAAUGGUGCUUAAGCUGUGAGGUAAGUCAGCAGUGGAAUGCCCCCGGUUAAAGGGGUGAAGUGCCAUUGAUACUGCCGUGCUGGAAUGCGGAUGCGGUGGGAGGAAUGUGUGGUGUAGCGGUGAAAUGCAUAGAUAUCACACAGAACACCGAUUGCGAAGGCAGCUCACGAGUCCGCGAUUGACGCUGAUGCACGAAAGCGUGGGUAUCAAACAGGAUUAGAUACCCCUGUAGUC
This 460-nucleotide ribosomal RNA is filed under the name uncultured bacterium. RNAcentral's name for it is "partial 16S ribosomal RNA". It matches the Rfam family "Bacterial small subunit ribosomal RNA", at positions 338 to 795 of the family's 1533-position model. The record is from RNAcentral.